This 427-nucleotide ribosomal RNA is filed under the name uncultured bacterium. RNAcentral describes it as "bacterial SSU rRNA". It matches the Rfam family "Bacterial small subunit ribosomal RNA", at positions 355 to 774 of the family's 1533-position model. The record is from RNAcentral.
UGGAGAAUUUUGGUCAAUGGGCGCAAGCCUGAUCCAGCCAUUCCGCGUGCAGGACGAAGGCCUUAGGGUUGUAAACUGCUUUUGUGCGGAACGAAAAGCCCUUCUCUAAUACAGAGGGGUCAUGACGGUACCGUAAGAAUAAGCACCGGCUAACUACGUGCCCGCAGCCGCGGUAAUACGUAGGGUGCAAGCGUUAAUCGGAAUUACUGGGCGUAAAGCGUGCGUAGGUGGUGGUUUAAGUCAGAUGUGAAAUCCCCGGGCUCAACCUGGGAACUGCAUUUGUGACUGCAUCGCUGGAGUGCGGCAGAGGGGGAUGGAAUUCCGCGUGUAGCAGUGAAAUGCGUAGAUAUGCGGAGGAACACCGACGGAGAAGGCAAUCCCCUGGGCCUGCACUGACGCUCAGGCACGAAAGCUUGGGGAGCAAACA